GACGAACGCUGGCGGCGUGCCUAACACAUGCAAGUGGAGCGACGAACCAGGCUUCGGCCUGGGGCAAAGCCGCGAACGGGUGAGUAACACGUGGGUAACCUGCCCUGAUGAUUGGGACAACCCGAGGAAACUCGGGCUAAUACCAAAUGUGCCCUUCGGCCACAAGGCCGCUGGGGAAAGGAAGCUUCGGCCUCCGCAUCUGGAUGGGCCCGCGGCCCAUUAGCUUGUUGGUGAGGUAACGGCUCACCAAGGCGACGAUGGGUAGCUGGUCUGAGAGGACGAUCAGCCACACUGGGACUGAGACACGGCCCAGACUCCUACGGGAGGCAGCAGUGGGGAAUCUUGCGCAAUGCGCGAAAGCGCGACGCAGCAACGCCGCGUGGGGGAAGACGGCC
Molecule: ribosomal RNA, 395 nt
Filed under: uncultured bacterium
Lineage: Bacteria
Description: bacterial SSU rRNA
Rfam family: Bacterial small subunit ribosomal RNA
Source: RNAcentral